UCGCGGUCUCUAUUUAACUCUGAUUGGCCAAAAAUACUUAAACUCAGUUAUUAUUGUUAAGGUGCGAGACCUCGUAUAUUCUUAAUGAGAAUUUUUAGCACAGAAUAUUCGGCUCUGAUAUCAUAUAUAAUGAUUCGAACCGUUAGUAAUAAUAAUUUAUUAGAGCUCAAACUACUAGCCCAAGAUAUUUAAGCCCAAUUAUUAUUACUAAUGUCCACGGUCUCUUAUGUACUAGAUAAUAAUUUCAUUUCUAUCCGAUGUGAGACUAUUGAAGUGCCACAUUAUUAACCGUAAUCAUGUUUUGUUAA
This 308-nucleotide long non-coding RNA is filed under the name Ananas comosus (pineapple). Its description in RNAcentral is "long non-coding RNA (ACOM_LNC030876)". Lineage: Eukaryota; Viridiplantae; Streptophyta; Magnoliopsida; Poales; Bromeliaceae. The record is from RNAcentral.